AAUAAGCGCUAGUUUUGAUAAUUUUGGACAAAAUCUUCCUAGACCCCUUCUCUCAUCACGCCCUCCUCCUCUUCGUAGACCUCUUCUCUCUCUCUUACUCGGUCUCUCUCUUCCAUAGCCUUCCUCCUCUUGGCUCAUCACGCCCUCUCUCUCCCGUAGGCUUCCUCCUCUUCGCUCAUCACGCUCAUCACGCUCGAACCCCAAAUCGCCCCAAUCUCGAACCCCACUGUCGGUUGUCUCUCUCCCUCUCCUUCUAAACGACGGGCAGCCACCACCCCCUUCAUUGUGCUCGUCUCUCUCCUUGAAAGUGAAUACACCUCAUGCCCCACCCAAUAUUACUUACUAGGCAUGGAGAGAGUGAGGAUAAUGUUAGAGGCAGAAUUGGAGGAGACAAUCCUUUGAGGUAGUUCCUCUUGUUUUGAAAUGGUCGUCGUCAUGGCAAGGUUGUUCGGUGUAUGGGGAAAGCGCGAGUUUGUGAGACGGGUACCUCUUCUUCCAGAUCAAACACAGCAGAGGUCGAUACAUUGAAGGAGGAAGUGACAACCCUAAGACAUUAGCUUGCGGUCCAGGGCAAGCAGAUGAGGGCCCAGGGCGAGGAGAUGAAAGCCUAUGCCGGGCACGUGAGAGACCUUCUACGAGCCAUACAGAUGUCCGACCUCCAAAUCUCGCUACCAGUACCUGAUCUUGCCACACCUUCGACCUUCGAGCUGUUUCACCCUGCCGAUACCCAGUAGCCACUUCACUUAGAAGACUACUUGUAGUUUUUUCUUUUUUUGUUCGGACAUCUUGUAUGUACAUUUUCAUAUAUUUUAUAAUUAAAUAUUUUUCUUU
This is a long non-coding RNA of Malus domestica (apple), 831 nucleotides long. RefSeq lists it as uncharacterized. The record is from RefSeq and is a predicted model, not a curated record. Lineage: Eukaryota; Viridiplantae; Streptophyta; Magnoliopsida; Rosales; Rosaceae.